RNAcentral lists this ribosomal RNA (485 nucleotides) under uncultured bacterium. Its description in RNAcentral is "partial 16S ribosomal RNA". It matches the Rfam family "Bacterial small subunit ribosomal RNA", at positions 29 to 523 of the family's 1533-position model. The record is from RNAcentral.
AGUGAACGCUGGCGGCGUGCUUAACACAUGCAAGUCGAACGAGAACGGAAUAUAGCUUGCUAUAUUUGUCAGCUAAGUGGCGCACGGGUGAGUAAUGUAUAGAUAACCUGCCCUUAAGAAAGGAAUAACAGUUGGAAACGACUGCUAAUGCCCUAUAUGCCUUUAAUACAUAAGUAUGCAAGGGAAACGCUUUAGUGCUUAAGGAUGGGUCUGUAUGGAAUCAGCUUGUUGGUGAGGUAAUGGCUCACCAAGGCUAUGACACCUAGCUGGUUUGAGAGGAUGAUCAGUCACACUGGAACUGAGACACGGUCCAGACUCCUACGAGAGGCAGCAGUGGGGAAUAUUGCACAAUGGACGAAAGUCUGAUGCAGCAACGCCGCGUGGAGGAUGACACAUUUCGGUGCGUAAACUCCUUUUAUAUAGGAAGAUAAUGACGGUACUAUAUGAAUAAGCACCGGCUAACUCCGUGCCAGCCGCCGCAGUAA